RNAcentral lists this ribosomal RNA (527 nucleotides) under uncultured bacterium. Its description in RNAcentral is "bacterial SSU rRNA". It matches the Rfam family "Bacterial small subunit ribosomal RNA", at positions 355 to 896 of the family's 1533-position model. The record is from RNAcentral.
CGGGGAAUUUUGCGCAAUGGGGGAAACCCUGACGCAGCAACGCCGCGUGAGUGAUGAAGGCCUUCGGGUCGUAAACCUCUUUUCUGGGAGAAGAGACAAGGACGGUAUCCCAGGAAUAAGUCUCGGCUAACUACGUGCCAGCAGCCGCGGUAAUACGUAGGAGGCAAGCGUUAUCCGGAUUCACUGGGCGUAAAGCGCACGCAGGCGGUCAUGUAAGUCGGACGUGAAAGCUCCUGGCUCAACUGGGAGAGGUCGCUCGAUACUGCAUGGCUUGAGGUUGGGAGAGGGAAGCGGAAUUCCCGGUGUAGUGGUGGAAUGCGUAGAUAUCGGGAGGAACACCAGUGGCGAAAGCGGCUUCCUGGCCCAUACCUGACGCUCAGGUGCGAAAGCGUGGGGAGCGAACGGGAUUAGAUACCCCGGUAGUCCACGCUGUAAACGAUGCGAACUAGGUGUUGGUAGUAUUAAUCCUAUCAGUGCCGUAGCUAACGCGAUAAGUUCGCCGCCUGGGGACUACGGCCGCAAGGCUA